RNAcentral lists this non-coding RNA (22 nucleotides) under Arabidopsis thaliana (thale cress). Lineage: Eukaryota; Viridiplantae; Streptophyta; Magnoliopsida; Brassicales; Brassicaceae. The record is from RNAcentral.
UGAAAUGUGAGUGUCGAUCGAC